GGGUGUGAUCAUACUAACACUGUUACCCCGGAUCCCAUCAGAACUCCGCAGUUAAGCGUGCUUAGGCGAGAGUAGUACUAGCAUGGGUAACCCCCCGGGAAGUCCUCGUGUUCCACCCC
Molecule: non-coding RNA, 119 nt
Organism: Camellia sinensis
Lineage: Eukaryota; Viridiplantae; Streptophyta; Magnoliopsida; Ericales; Theaceae
Source: RefSeq, a predicted model, not a curated record